GACGAACGCUGGCGGCGUGCUUAACACAUGCAAGUCGAACGGGAUCCGGGCUUUCGGGUUUGGUGAGAGUGGCGAACGGGUGAGUAACACGUGAGUAACCUGCCCCCUUCUUUGGGAUAACGUCGGGAAAUCGGCGCUAAUACUGGAUAUUCUUGCUGCAUCGCAUGGUGUGGUUUGGAAAGGGUUUCUGGUGGGGGAUGGGCUCGCGGCCUAUCAGCUUGUUGGUGGGGUGAUGGCCUACCAAGGCUUUGACGGGUAGCCGGCCUGAGAGGGUGUCCGGCCACACUGGGACUGAGACACGGCCCAGACUCCUACGGGAGGCAGCAGUGGGGAAUAUUACACAAUGGGCGCAAGCCUGAUGCAGCGACGCCGCGUGAGGGAUGACGGCCUUCGGGUUGUAAACCUCUUUCAGUAUGGAACAAGGAUCCUUCUUUUGGGGGGUUUGAGGGUACGUGCAGAAGAAGCGCCGGCUAACUACGUG
This 481-nucleotide ribosomal RNA is filed under the name uncultured bacterium. RNAcentral's name for it is "partial 16S ribosomal RNA". It matches the Rfam family "Bacterial small subunit ribosomal RNA", at positions 28 to 507 of the family's 1533-position model. The record is from RNAcentral.